GUCCUUAUCUGUAGGGACUUGUGCGUACAUGUGGCAGUGGUUCAGAGUUCUGUUCUGUGAGACCUUCUGUGUGCCCAGUUUAAGGGAGGUGGUGAAGGCUGCUGCUGGGCUGCUGUACUAAUGUAAGCUUCUGGGAGCAGUGUGAAUGUCGGAAAGGUACAGUCAAUCUUAGCCAGGGGCAAGGUAAGACUGGCUCCACCUUUUUGGUUGGGCUCCAGGAAGAUGAAACACAUCACCACCAGCACAGAUCAGACUCCUAUUUAUGACUAACUUGGCAGCAAUUUCAAAGGAAGAAAGGAGCAGAGUCCAUUAUCAUCAAGGCAUCUCUGCAUUUGGCCCUUCUGCCCCUGAAAUGUGUCAUCUGCUGUAAAUGAAGAAAAAAUUUCAGAUGCCACUCUGGAACCCCAGCCUGGAAACUAAGGGGUUAGGGACUUGAAACUUCUCAACCCAAAGUGCCAAUGUUGGCUCCUGUCACCAGCUGAGAGCAGGGGAACGUCAGCCCACUGUCAUGUUUGCAAAGGCUCAAGUUUUCUUACCUAUAAAUUGAAGACAGUAAAUCAUCUAUCUUUCAAAUUUGGUAUAUGGACUAAAAGAGCAACACAUAUACAGUGCUCCAUGGGAUCGAAUUCAGGACUUUGCACUUGAAAAGGAGGGGUGGCACCACUGAGCUAAAUCCCUGGCCCAGGUCCUAUUGAAUAUUAACCUCAAGAAAUUUUAUUUUCCAACAUGCUAAGUUUUUUUUUCUUUAGUUUAUAU
Long non-coding RNA from Heterocephalus glaber (naked mole-rat), 756 nucleotides. Lineage: Eukaryota; Metazoa; Chordata; Mammalia; Rodentia; Bathyergidae. The record is from Ensembl.